Molecule: ribosomal RNA, 623 nt
Filed under: uncultured bacterium
Lineage: Bacteria
Description: bacterial SSU rRNA
Rfam family: Bacterial small subunit ribosomal RNA
Source: RNAcentral
AGAGUUUGAUCCUGGCUCAGAAUGAACGCUGGCGGCGUGCUUAACACAUGCAAGUCGAACGAUGAAGAGCAGCUUGCUGCUUGGAUUAGUGGCGCACGGGUGAGUAAUAUAUAGAUAACGUACCUCCGAGACCGGGAUAGCCAUUGGAAACGAUGAUUAAUACUGGAUACUCCUUCUAACUCUAAUGUUAGUCGGGAAAGUUUUUUCGCUCGGAGAUCGGUCUAUAUCCYAUCAGYUAGUUGGUGAGGUAAUGGCUCACCAAGGCAAUGACAGGUAGCGGGUUUGAGAGGAUGAUCCGCCACACUGGUACUGAGACACGGACCAGACUCCUACGGGAGGCARCAGUGAGGAAUAUUGCACAAUGGGGGAAACCCUGAUGCAGCAACGCCGCGUGGAGGAUGACGCAUUUCGGUGUGUAAACUCCUUUUAUAUGUCAAGAAAAUGACGGUAGCAUAUGAAUAAGCACCGGCUAACUCCGUGCCAGCAGCCGCGGUAAUACGGAGGGUGCAAGCGUUAUUCGGAAUCACUGGGCGUAAAGGACGCGUAGGCGGGUUGCCAAGUCAGGUGUGAAAUCCUACAGCUUAACUGUAGAACUGCACUUGAAACUGGUUACCUAGAGUAUG